Long non-coding RNA from Ictalurus punctatus (channel catfish), 3279 nucleotides. Lineage: Eukaryota; Metazoa; Chordata; Actinopteri; Siluriformes; Ictaluridae. The record is from Ensembl.
UAUAGGCCUGCCAUGAUCAGGCCUAUAAAUAGGCAUGAUUUUACACAAGCUUCAGAUGCCAGUUGCGUGCGAGAGGCGCUCCCAUAGUAUUAUGCUAAACGCAACAUCAAAGUUCCCUUUGAAAGGGAACUUUACGGUGCAUGGUGGCCUGCCAGGUGGUGUUUGCAGUGGCGGCUCCUUUAUAGUGGAGUGGAGCAGUGUCCAACCAUUUCCAUCCGCCAUAAAGAGCACGUAAGCUACUUUAACCAUACUUUUACAGUUACUGGCCUGAUUGACUACUGCUACUGUUCUACUCUAGUGAAAAUGCAAAAUUUUGGACUUAAAUUGCAGUACAGCAACAACAGUGGACAAGAGUGAGUAGCUCAGCAACAAGCUAGUCAGCAGACAACUAGCUAUUAGGAAAAAGCUAACCAGCUAAAAUGAAUCAUAACACUAAUGCUGAUGAUUACCUUCACAAAACAGUAAUUAGUAUGGUCAAUGUUAUAGAUUUCCACAAGGAAUCCAAUAUUCAGGUUACAGAUUGGCCUCUCCUGCCAUCUGCAGAUCCACCAACUUCUAACCCCAUGGAAGACAGUCAUACUUGACUCGAGUAACUGCCGAUGACGACAACGAUGAUGAUUUCUGACCUGAAUAUAAGCAUUAACAUAUGAGCAUUCUUACACCUCAGUUCACUUUUAUUGUUCUUACAUCAUUUUGAGUGACCAGGAAGAAACAGGGCUGUGGAGUGAUUUCAAAAAGGAAUAAAGUAUUGAAACAAAAAAUAUCUGUUUCAAAAGGAACUUAAUUUUAUUCUGUUCAUGUCGAUUGUUGCAUAUGGAACCAGUCUGAGACUGUCAGUUCUGAAUUUCUUUAUGCUGACACGACAAUUGAGAGGUGGUGCAUGAAAUAAACAUCAAACAAUAAAGUUCUCCAUACCAAACUGGAACUGUUUUAACAUAGUGAAUGUGUCUGCUGAAAACCUGAGCCAGGAAAAUAAACCCAAUCUGAUUCAUGGAGAAAACACUAGUGGGCAAAACAAUGAUGGACAGCUAGCCAGGAUGUAGUGUAUGAUAAAGUCAGAGCUUGUAUUCUGGGACAGGUUUCACCAGUCAACUUGAAAUCAUGGAUAAUUUCUAAUGACUGAGAGCAAUUUAGAUGGAUUUUUUAUUAUGAAGUCAUAAAAAUGAAGUAACCCUGCCCCUUGAUCUAACUUUAACCAUGCACCUUAACUUUUCAUAUGAGUUGGCCCAUAUACAGUGUUAUAAAUUUUCAAUCAUAAGACCAUGUUGGAACUAGGUUGUGUAAUAAAGAGUGCUGCCAAGAUCCUCCUGCUUUCAUCAGCCAAUGAUGGUAGUCGAGCCAAAAUAAGCUGCCAAUUAUCCAAUCAACUGCAGCCAGACACAGUGGUGACCAAAAAAGCACACAUCAAACCAGACAAAACAAUAUACUACUGUGUAUGGCAUACAGAAAUGUUUUGGCUGACACUUGGGGUUGAAAGCAAAGGAUUUGCAACAAAAGUUUUUUGGAAAAAACCAAGAAACUAGCCAGAGAACGAAAUGUUGGCACAUUGAUAAAGAGAUGAUGUGAUAAAUUAUAAUUGAAACAGAUUUUUGCAAUAAAUGAUGGCAGUGAGUGUAUUGUCUCACCAUUGUAUGCAUGUUUGGAUCUUUUCAUCAUGUCAUGUGUUGCUUUCUCUUCAGAAUAUUCAGCAACUGAUGAAAAUCCCAAAAGGAUUCACAUUUUAUUUUUCCAACUUUUCAAAAAGUGACAUACCUACAGCCGAGAAGAUUUCUCUUCCUGUGCCGAUUUUGACAGGAUGUUUUAAAAAGCUGUCCAUAUUGAACACAUCAGAAGUUUGCUGCUAUUUUAUAGAAAAUAAAUCUAUUUUUCAGACAUCAGUUUUCUAGGUUAUGCUGAUGCAUGUCUGUAUACUAGCAGUAAACUAGGAAGGAAAAAAAAAAGAUCACAACACAUUCCAAUAUUUUGCAGUGUUGAUGGCAGUAUCUCAUCAGUAGCAUCACCCCGACUCUAGGAGCAAAUACACAAAAUACAACAAACAAUUCAUCCAUCUGACUAAUAUUGAUAUGUCUUCAAAAUUUUAUGCUACUAAAAUUUGCAGUUUGUUCUAUAAUGUAUUUUCCGUGCUGGGCAACAGUGACUCUGUACUGUGCACAUGAAUACAUGACUACUAGAUUCAUAUGGCUAACUUUAAUGUGGGGACUGGAAAUUGGGUUUGGAAAACAAAACCAAUGUAAUGGAUUGCAGUUACUCUUGCAAAUUUGUCCAGUUGGUCCUGUUGGCGAGUGGAAUGGCAGAGCAGAGCCGGGCUUUAAUGGGCUGUAAACCCAAGGUCGCUUCCAAGAACUCUCUCAAGCUUCUACUGCAAACUGAUCAUGCUCUGUUAAGAGGGUGCAGCACACUGUUUCAUAGUUCACUAACAGAUCUGGGUCAAUUUAUGUGUCCCCGAUACUUGCAUUCUUGAGUAUUGGAUUUGAACCUCGGAUGCAAGAUCGUAUAAGUAUGCAUUUUGAGAAACGGCUUUGUUUUCCAGAUAUAUGUUGAAUCAUGUGUCAUGUGACAUGCACGUCAACUUUACUUUAUAAACCACAUUUACUAGUGUGGAUUCACAUUUAUAGUAUUUUCUCAAAAUUAGCAAAUUUUUCUAUGUUCAAACUCAAAAAUCACAGUUUAUGGUUUAUCAACCUGCAUGUUCAUGCUCAUUCCUGUCCCUAUUUAGAAAGAUAUUAGAGAGGAAUUUCUCAACUUGUUGAUUAUUUCUGGAUUCACAUUAGAUUCUGUACUAAAAAUGGCAUAUAUUUAUUUUGGUAACAACACGUAGUAUUUUGUUAUGUAAACAACAACAACAACAAUAAUAAUAAUUAAAAAAUAAAUUCCAACAACUGUUCUGUAAAAGUCUUCUCUGAAGACUGCCUACACAAUUUUAAUUCUAGCAUCAUUCAAAAACUAGAUUUUUUUUGUUUUGUCAUAUUUAAUAAGAUGACUCCUUAGUUUCAUGAAAUUUAUUAAAAAAAUUGUGAUAUCAAUUGUUUGACUUAAAUUACCUUAUUCACCUGUAGUUUCUUAGCUUAAUUGGUCAAACAGCAAAAUUUGCAGUAAAGCUGUAGGGUUAUAUAUAUAUAUAUAUAUAUAUAUACACACAAACAGUAGUACAAUACUGGUUGGGUCCAAAAAUUCUCUCUCUUUGUUUUUAACCGCUGCUAUCUCAGUGUUUUUAAUCUCUGAUUAACACACAUUUCAUAAACAACAAUGCAUGCAUAUAUAUAUAUAUAUAUAUAUAUA